RNAcentral lists this ribosomal RNA (440 nucleotides) under uncultured bacterium. RNAcentral's name for it is "partial 16S ribosomal RNA". It matches the Rfam family "Bacterial small subunit ribosomal RNA", at positions 338 to 795 of the family's 1533-position model. The record is from RNAcentral.
CCUACGGGUGGCAGCAGUGGGGAAUAUUGCACAAUGGGGGAAACCCUGAUGCAGCGACGCCGCGUGAGUGAAGAAGUAUUUCGGUAUGUAAAGCUCUAUCAGUAGGGAAGAAAAUGACGGUACCUGACUAAGAAGCCCCGGCUAAUUACGUGCCAGCAGCCGCGGUAAUACGUAGGGGGCAAGCGUUCUCCGGAUUUACUGGGUGGAAAGGGAGCGUAGGCGGUGUCGCAAGUCAGAAGUGAAAGCCCGUGGCUCAACCCCGGGGCUGCUUUUGAAACUGUGUGACUUGAGUGCAGGAGAGGUGAGCGGAAUUCCUGGUGUAGCAGUGAAAUGCGUAGAUAUCAGGAGGAACACCAGUGGCGAAGGCGGCUUACUGGACUGUAACUGACGUUGAGGCUCGAAAGCGUGGGGAGCAAACAGGAUUAGAUACCCGAGUAGUC